GGCCUUGUAGCUCAGAUGGUGAGAGCAUUUGCUGUAGUAAAGCCUCCCCUUUAUUGGCGGGGGUUCGAAUCCCACCGAGGACG
RNAcentral lists this transfer RNA (83 nucleotides) under Schistocephalus solidus. It matches the Rfam family "tRNA". Rfam says of the family: Transfer RNA (tRNA) molecules are approximately 80 nucleotides in length. The record is from Rfam by way of RNAcentral. Lineage: Eukaryota; Metazoa; Platyhelminthes; Cestoda; Diphyllobothriidea; Diphyllobothriidae.